CGGCCUUGCUUCUUCUUCUUUCAUCUCCGUCAUCUCUCCUUAAGAUUCGGCCUUACAAAAGUUGUGUUCUUCUCAUUUCUUCGUCAGAUCGGCCUUCGUGAAGGCUUGUUCUUCUCAUUUCUUCGUCAAAUUUGGCCUUCGGGAAGUCAGAUUUCUUGCAUUCGGCAGAUUGGUUUCAGGUUUCGUUGUCUGAUUGCGGUUUUCUUGACGAGUUUGACGGUGUUGUGGUUCGACGUUUGUGGAAAUGCAUUGAAACCUGCAACAUCUAUUUCUACAAAUCCACUUGGUCUUCAAGACAAGACUUCAG
Long non-coding RNA from Morus notabilis, 307 nucleotides. RefSeq lists it as uncharacterized. The record is from RefSeq and is a predicted model, not a curated record. The transcript has 3 exons. Lineage: Eukaryota; Viridiplantae; Streptophyta; Magnoliopsida; Rosales; Moraceae.